Molecule: transfer RNA, 67 nt
Filed under: Marmota monax (woodchuck)
Lineage: Eukaryota; Metazoa; Chordata; Mammalia; Rodentia; Sciuridae
Description: tRNA.Val
Rfam family: tRNA
About the family: Transfer RNA (tRNA) molecules are approximately 80 nucleotides in length. Their secondary structure includes four short double-helical elements and three loops (D, anti-codon, and T loops).
Source: RNAcentral
GGUUGUAGCUCAGGGGUAGAGCACUUGCCUCACAUAUUUGAGGCCCUGGGUUCAAUCCCCAGCACCA